AUGCAUAAUUAUCUAUUUUUAUUCUGAUAGUUCUCCCAUAUUCCCAUUCCCAGUUUGACUUCUGUUGUGGAUGUUAUAUACAUUCAUCAAACCCCAGCAUCUCUAUAUUAAUUAGUGGCUUCUUUAUCUUUCCAAGAGAAAUGUAGAUGAUACUAGUCAGUACUGGUACCUCUCAGGCUAUGUCUUUUCUGGUUUGUGGAUUUCUCUGGAGGCCUUUUGUACCUGUGAACCAAAACCACAUUCAACCACUCAUAUUAUCUGCCUCAUUUAAUGGGGAAAAGGAUGCCAUUUGCCCAUGUCCUUGAAACAGACCAAGCACAAAUAUAAAUGCAAAAGCAGUUAUUCUCUCUAUUCUGCCCUUGAAGUAUCAGGUUUAGAAAAGUAUGUUGGGUGAAGAUGAGUUUCUAUGGUUUCAGAUAUGGUUCUAAGUGAAGAGUCACAGAACAAAAAUAGAACUUAGUAGUAAUUUUG
Molecule: long non-coding RNA, 471 nt
Filed under: Bos taurus (domestic cattle)
Lineage: Eukaryota; Metazoa; Chordata; Mammalia; Artiodactyla; Bovidae
Description: long non-coding RNA NONBTAT023500
Source: RNAcentral